ACUCCUACGGGAGGCAGCAGUCGGGGAAUAUUGCACAAUGGGGGAAACCCUGAUGCAGCCAUGCCGCGUGUGUGAAGAAGGCCUUCGGGUUGUAAAGCACUUUCAGUAGGGAGGAAGGUAGGUNUAGUUAAACACCUGNACUAUUUGACGUUACCUACAGAAGAAGCACCGGCUAACUCCGUGCCAGCAGCCGCGGUAAUACGGAGGGUGCGAGCGUUAAUCGGAAUUACUGGGCGUAAAGCGCAUGCAGGCGGCCUGUU
Molecule: ribosomal RNA, 260 nt
Filed under: uncultured bacterium
Lineage: Bacteria
Description: partial 16S ribosomal RNA
Rfam family: Bacterial small subunit ribosomal RNA
Source: RNAcentral